Molecule: ribosomal RNA, 253 nt
Filed under: uncultured bacterium
Lineage: Bacteria
Description: partial 16S ribosomal RNA
Rfam family: Bacterial small subunit ribosomal RNA
Source: RNAcentral
UACGAAGGGGGCUAGCGUUGUUCGGAAUUACUGGGCGUAAAGGGCGCGUAGGCGGCGUGUCAAGUCAGGCGUGAAAGCCCCGGGCUCAACCUGGGAACCGCGCUUGAGACUGGCAUGCUCGAGUUCGGGAGAGGAUGGUGGAAUUCCCAGUGUAGAGGUGAAAUUCGUAGAUAUUGGGAAGACCACCGAUGGCGAAGGCAGCCAUCUGGACCGACACUGACGCUGAGGCGCGAAAGCGUGGGGAGCAAACAGG